Molecule: transfer RNA, 71 nt
Filed under: Nesophrosyne sp. 242 GMB-2012
Lineage: Eukaryota; Metazoa; Arthropoda; Insecta; Hemiptera; Cicadellidae
Description: tRNA-Asp
Source: RNAcentral
GAGCAUCUAGUUUAAAUACUGAUAAAACACUAGAAUGUCAAACUAGAAAUACCCUAUAGAGGUGAUUCUCU